This 2923-nucleotide ribosomal RNA is filed under the name Klebsiella pneumoniae. RNAcentral describes it as "bacterial LSU rRNA". It matches the Rfam family "Bacterial large subunit ribosomal RNA". The record is from RNAcentral. Lineage: Bacteria; Pseudomonadati; Pseudomonadota; Gammaproteobacteria; Enterobacterales; Enterobacteriaceae.
GGGUUGUGAGGUUAAGCGACUAAGCGUACACGGUGGAUGCCCUGGCAGUCAGAGGCGAUGAAGGACGUGCUAAUCUGCGAAAAGCGUCGGUAAGGUGAUAUGAACCGUUAUAGCCGGCGAUGUCCGAAUGGGGAAACCCAGUGCAAUUCGUUGCACUAUCGUUAACUGAAUACAUAGGUUAACGAGGCGAACCGGGGGAACUGAAACAUCUAAGUACCCCGAGGAAAAGAAAUCAACCGAGAUUCCCCCAGUAGCGGCGAGCGAACGGGGAGCAGCCCAGAGUCUGAAUCAGCUUGUGUGUUAGUGGAACGGUCUGGAAAGUCCGACGGUACAGGGUGAUAGUCCCGUACACCAAAAUGCACAGGUUGUGAACUCGAAGAGUAGGGCGGGACACGUGGUAUCCUGUCUGAAUAUGGGGGGACCAUCCUCCAAGGCUAAAUACUCCUGACUGACCGAUAGUGAACCAGUACCGUGAGGGAAAGGCGAAAAGAACCCCGGCGAGGGGAGUGAAAAAGAACCUGAAACCGUGUACGUACAAGCAGUGGGAGCACCUUCGGGUGUGACUGCGUACCUUUUGUAUAAUGGGUCAGCGACUUAUAUUCUGUAGCAAGGUUAACCGUAUAGGGGAGCCGCAGGGAAACCGAGUCUUAACUGGGCGUUAAGUUGCAGGGUAUAGACCCGAAACCCGGUGAUCUAGCCAUGGGCAGGUUGAAGGUUGGGUAACACUAACUGGAGGACCGAACCGACUAAUGUUGAAAAAUUAGCGGAUGACUUGUGGCUGGGGGUGAAAGGCCAAUCAAACCGGGAGAUAGCUGGUUCUCCCCGAAAGCUAUUUAGGUAGCGCCUCGUGAAUUCAUCUUCGGGGGUAGAGCACUGUUUCGGCUAGGGGGUCAUCCCGACUUACCAACCCGAUGCAAACUACGAAUACCGAAGAAUGUUAUCACGGGAGACACACGGCGGGUGCUAACGUCCGUCGUGAAGAGGGAAACAACCCAGACCGCCAGCUAAGGUCCCAAAGUCAUGGUUAAGUGGGAAACGAUGUGGGAAGGCACAGACAGCCAGGAUGUUGGCUUAGAAGCAGCCAUCAUUUAAAGAAAGCGUAAUAGCUCACUGGUCGAGUCGGCCUGCGCGGAAGAUGUAACGGGGCUAAACCAUGCACCGAAGCUGCGGCAGCGACACUAUGUGUUGUUGGGUAGGGGAGCGUUCUGUAAGCCUGCGAAGGUGUGCUGUGAGGCAUGCUGGAGGUAUCAGAAGUGCGAAUGCUGACAUAAGUAACGAUAAAGCGGGUGAAAAGCCCGCUCGCCGGAAGACCAAGGGUUCCUGUCCAACGUUAAUCGGGGCAGGGUGAGUCGACCCCUAAGGCGAGGCCGAAAGGCGUAGUCGAUGGGAAACAGGUUAAUAUUCCUGUACUUGGUGUUACUGCGAAGGGGGGACGGAGAAGGCUAUGUUAGCCGGGCGACGGUUGUCCCGGUUUAAGCAUGUAGGCUGAUUGUCCAGGCAAAUCCGGAUAAUCAAGGCUGAGGUGUGAUGACGAGGCACUACGGUGCUGAAGUAACAAAUGCCCUGCUUCCAGGAAAAGCCUCUAAGCAUCAGGUAACAUCAAAUCGUACCCCAAACCGACACAGGUGGUCAGGUAGAGAAUACCAAGGCGCUUGAGAGAACUCGGGUGAAGGAACUAGGCAAAAUGGUGCCGUAACUUCGGGAGAAGGCACGCUGGUGUGUAGGUGAAGUCCCUGCGGAUGGAGCUGAGACCAGUCGAAGAUACCAGCUGGCUGCAACUGUUUAUUAAAAACACAGCACUGUGCAAACACGAAAGUGGACGUAUACGGUGUGACGCCUGCCCGGUGCCGGAAGGUUAAUUGAUGGGGUUAUCCGUAAGGAGAAGCUCUUGAUCGAAGCCCCGGUAAACGGCGGCCGUAACUAUAACGGUCCUAAGGUAGCGAAAUUCCUUGUCGGGUAAGUUCCGACCUGCACGAAUGGCGUAAUGAUGGCCAGGCUGUCUCCACCCGAGACUCAGUGAAAUUGAACUCGCUGUGAAGAUGCAGUGUACCCGCGGCAAGACGGAAAGACCCCGUGAACCUUUACUAUAGCUUGACACUGAACAUUGAGCCUUGAUGUGUAGGAUAGGUGGGAGGCUUUGAAGCGUGGACGCCAGUCUGCGUGGAGCCAACCUUGAAAUACCACCCUUUAAUGUUUGAUGUUCUAACGUUGGCCCCUUACCGGGGUUGCGGACAGUGUCUGGUGGGUAGUUUGACUGGGGCGGUCUCCUCCCAAAGCGUAACGGAGGAGCACGAAGGUUAGCUAAUCCUGGUCGGACAUCAGGAGGUUAGUGCAAUGGCAUAAGCUAGCUUGACUGCGAGCGUGACGGCGCGAGCAGGUGCGAAAGCAGGUCAUAGUGAUCCGGUGGUUCUGAAUGGAAGGGCCAUCGCUCAACGGAUAAAAGGUACUCCGGGGAUAACAGGCUGAUACCGCCCAAGAGUUCAUAUCGACGGCGGUGUUUGGCACCUCGAUGUCGGCUCAUCACAUCCUGGGGCUGAAGUAGGUCCCAAGGGUAUGGCUGUUCGCCAUUUAAAGUGGUACGCGAGCUGGGUUUAGAACGUCGUGAGACAGUUCGGUCCCUAUCUGCCGUGGGCGCUGGAGAAUUGAGGGGGGCUGCUCCUAGUACGAGAGGACCGGAGUGGACGCAUCACUGGUGUUCGGGUUGUCAUGCCAAUGGCACUGCCCGGUAGCUAAAUGCGGAAGAGAUAAGUGCUGAAAGCAUCUAAGCACGAAACUUGCCCCGAGAUGAGUUCUCCCUGAGACUUUAAGUCUCCUGAAGGAACGUUGAAGACGACGACGUUGAUAGGCCGGGUGUGUAAGCGCAGCGAUGCGUUGAGCUAACCGGUACUAAUGAACCGUGAGGCUUAACCUUACAACGCCGAAG